AGAGUUUGAUCAUGGCUCAGGAUGAACGCUAGCUACAGGCUUAACACAUGCAAGUCGAGGGGAAACGACAUCGAAAGCUUGCUUUUGAUGGGCGUCGACCGGCGCACGGGUGAGUAACGCGUAUCCAACCUGCCCACCACUUGGGGAUAACCUUGCGAAAGUAAGACUAAUACCCAAUGACGUCUCUAGAAGACAUCUGAAAGAGAUUAAAGAUUUAUCGGUGAUGGAUGGGGAUGCGUCUGAUUAGCCUGUUGGCGGGGUAACGGCCACAAGGCGACGAUCAGUAGGGGUUCUGAGAGGAAGGUCCCCCANAUUGGAACUGAGACACGGUCCAAACUCCGUACGGAGGCA
Molecule: ribosomal RNA, 351 nt
Filed under: uncultured bacterium
Lineage: Bacteria
Description: bacterial SSU rRNA
Rfam family: Bacterial small subunit ribosomal RNA
Source: RNAcentral